RNAcentral lists this ribosomal RNA (1467 nucleotides) under Blautia wexlerae. RNAcentral describes it as "partial 23S ribosomal RNA". It matches the Rfam family "Bacterial large subunit ribosomal RNA", at positions 1335 to 2820 of the family's 2925-position model. The record is from RNAcentral. Lineage: Bacteria; Bacillati; Bacillota; Clostridia; Lachnospirales; Lachnospiraceae.
GGCCGAAUAUCCAAGGUUUCCAGAGUAAAGCUGAUCUGCUCUGGGUAAGUCGGGGCCUAAGGCGAGGACGAGAGUCGUAGCCGAUGGACAACAGGUGGAGAUUCCUGUACUGCGGUAUGACAGAACUGUGGGGACACGUAAGGAAAGCGGAAGCCGGGAAUGGAAAGCCCGGUGCAAGCGGGGUACCAGUCACUUUGGCAAAUCCGGGUGGCAAUGGGAAGCCGUGAUGCGGAGCGAAAUAAAGUAGCGAAGUCCGUGAGCCAUGCGUCAAGAAAAGCCGCUAUUGUUUAUACCGUACCCGUACCGUAAACCGACACAGGUGGAUGAGGAGAGAAUCCUAAGGCCGGCGGAAGAAGCAUUGUCAAGGAACUCGGCAAAAUGGCCCCGUAACUUAGGGAUAAGGGGUGCCUGGGAAACCAGGCCGCAGAGAAUAGGCUCAAGCAACUGUUUAGCAAAAACACAGGUCUAUGCGAAACCGAAAGGUGAGGUAUAUGGGCUGACGCCUGCCCGGUGCUGGAAGGUUAAGAGGAGAGGUUAGCGGUAACGCGAAGCUUUGAAUUUAAGCCCCAGUAAACGGCGGCCGUAACUAUAACGGUCCUAAGGUAGCGAAAUUCCUUGUCGGGUAAGUUCCGACCCGCACGAAAGGCGUAAUGAUUUGAGCGCUGUCUCGACAAUGCAUCCGGUGAAAUUGAAGUACCAGUGAAGAUGCUGGUUACCUGCGCCAGGACGGAAAGACCCCAUGGAGCUUUACUCCAGUCUGGUACUGGGACUCGGUAUUGCAUGUACAGGAUAGGUGGGAGGCUAGGAGAUGGUAACGCCAGUUGCCAUGGAGCCGCUGUUGGGAUACCACCCUUGCAGUAUUGGGUUUCUAACCAGCCGCCGUGACCCGGCGGUGGGACAAUGCCAGACGGGGAGUUUGACUGGGGCGGUCGCCUCCGAAAGGGUAUCGGAGGCGCCCAAAGGUUCCCUCAGAAUGGACGGAAACCAUUCGAAGAGUGCAAAGGCAGAAGGGAGCUUGACUGCGACACCGACGGGUGGAGCAGGUACGAAAGUAGGGCUUAGUGAUCCGGUGGUAUUAAGUGGGAAUGCCAUCGCUCAACGGAUAAAAGCUACCCUGGGGAUAACAGGCUUAUCACUCCCAAGAGUUCACAUCGACGGAGUGGUUUGGCACCUCGAUGUCGGCUCAUCGCAUCCUGGGGCUGUAGUAGGUCCCAAGGGUUGGGCUGUUCGCCCAUUAAAGCGGUACGCGAGCUGGGUUCAGAACGUCGUGAGACAGUUCGGUCCCUAUCCGGCGUGGGCGUAGGAUAUCUGAGAGGAGCUGUCCUUAGUACGAGAGGACCGGGAUGGACGGGCCGCUGGUGCAUCGGUUAGACUGCCAAGUCUACGGCCGAGUAGCCAAGCCCGGAAGGGAUAAACGCUGAAGGCAUCUAAGCGUGAAGCCCCCCUUAAGAUGAGAUAUCCCAUUCG